AAGAUUUUAAGUUAAUUUUUAAAACUAUUAAUCUUCAAAAUUAAAUAUAUAUAUAUAUACCAUAUAUAAAUCUUA
RNAcentral lists this transfer RNA (75 nucleotides) under Bombus lapidarius. Its description in RNAcentral is "tRNA-Trp". Lineage: Eukaryota; Metazoa; Arthropoda; Insecta; Hymenoptera; Apidae. The record is from RNAcentral.